This 467-nucleotide ribosomal RNA is filed under the name uncultured bacterium. Its description in RNAcentral is "partial 16S ribosomal RNA". It matches the Rfam family "Bacterial small subunit ribosomal RNA", at positions 28 to 506 of the family's 1533-position model. The record is from RNAcentral.
GACGAACGCUGGCGGCGUGCUUAACACAUGCAAGUCGAACGGAAAGGCCCUGCUUUUGUGGGGUGCUCGAGUGGCGAACGGGUGAGUAACACGUGAGUAACCUGCCCUUGACUUUGGGAUAACUUCAGGAAACUGGGGCUAAUACCGGAUAGGAGCUCCUGCUGCAUGGUGGGGGUUGGAAAGUUUCGGCGGUUGGGGAUGGACUCGGGGCUUAUCAGCUUGUUGGUGGGGUAGUGGCUUACCAAGGCUUGGACGGGUAGCCGGCCUGAGAGGGUGACCGGCCACAUUGGGACUGGGAUACGGCCCAGACUCCUACGGGGGGCAGCAGUGGGGAAUAUUGCACAAUGGGCGGAAGCCUGAUGCAGCAACUCCGCGUGCGGGAUGACGGCCUUCGGGUUGUAAGCGGAUUUCGCCUGUGACGAAGCGUGAGUGACGGUAAUGGGUAAAGAAGCACCGGCUAACUACGU